UGCCAGCAGCCGCGGUAAUACGUAGGUGGCGAGCGUUAUUCGGAUUUAUUGGGCGUAAAGGGUUCGUAGGAGGUCGUGCAAGUCUGAUGUGAAAGCCCGGGGCUCAACCCCGGAAGUGCAUUGGAUACUGGCAGUCUUGAGUAUGGGAGAGGAAAGUGGAAUUCCGAGUGUAGGGGUGAAAUCCGUAGAUAUUCGGAGGAACACCAGUGGCGAAGGCGGCUUUCUGGACCGAUACUGACGCUGAGACGCGAAAGCGUGGGGAGCAAACAGGAUUAGAUA
Molecule: ribosomal RNA, 279 nt
Filed under: uncultured bacterium
Lineage: Bacteria
Description: partial 16S ribosomal RNA
Rfam family: Bacterial small subunit ribosomal RNA
Source: RNAcentral